This is a small nuclear RNA of Symphalangus syndactylus (siamang), 103 nucleotides long. Lineage: Eukaryota; Metazoa; Chordata; Mammalia; Primates; Hylobatidae. The record is from RefSeq and is a predicted model, not a curated record.
GUGCUCACUUCAGCAACACAUAUACUAAAAUUGGAACAAUAUACAGAAGAUUAGCAUGGCCCCUGCACAAGGACAACCAAUUUGUGAAGCAUUCCAUAUUAAA